This is a non-coding RNA of Vicia faba (fava bean), 411 nucleotides long. Lineage: Eukaryota; Viridiplantae; Streptophyta; Magnoliopsida; Fabales; Fabaceae. The record is from the annotation of a GenBank genome assembly.
UGCCCAACAAUUCCUCAAUACAACCCAAUUCGGAUUUUUUUUAAAUUAUUAUUCAAAUUAAAUGACAAAAUUAAAAAGAAUAAUAAAAUGGAAAAGAGGAGAAUCGCAGGCGUUUGGAUACAGUGGAUGGGGUUUCAGAAAUUGAGACGGUUGGGCUUCACACGAGGAUUUCGAGUUCUCUUCUCUCUCUUUCUAACGGCGGUGCGAUUCUUCUACUCUCUCCUCCGUUCAUACAUAAACCUCCUAUGUCGAAGCUCCGCUCGCCUCCGUCAUCAACUCCUCUCAGUGAUUCCGUCUCUCCUAUCUUGCUUUUGUUCUCGUUCAACCAAACUCGCCGCCGCCAUGGCCUCUCUAAAACGGUCGGCGCUCAAACUUCAACAGCGGAGAACCUCGUCCGUUUCACAUCCGUAA